GGGUCAGUAGGUUGGUCGUGCCACCGGUACGUACUGGUCUCACUGAUUCCUCCUUCCUGAAGAACCGUAAUGCCAUUAAUUUGGUGUUGCGGGGAAACAGGACUGUUACUUUGAAGAAAUUAGAGUGUUUAAAGCAAGCUAACGCUUGAAUACAUUAGCAUGGAAUAAUGAAAUAGGACGAUCGAUCCUAUUUUGUUGGUUUCUAGGAUUGACGCA
This 216-nucleotide ribosomal RNA is filed under the name Glomeromycotina sp. Its description in RNAcentral is "partial small subunit ribosomal RNA". The stretch from base 40 to 216 matches the Rfam family "Eukaryotic small subunit ribosomal RNA", at positions 686 to 864 of the family's 1831-position model. The record is from RNAcentral. Lineage: Eukaryota; Fungi; Glomeromycota.